UCGACACACCAUAGCACUGCCCACGAAACACAGAACCUCUUAAAAACUUCUUGAAACGGCUACAAACGGCUAUAGACGUCUUGGUCUAUGAUAAGACUGAAAAUAGAAUUUCUUCUAAACAUAACCUCAGCACUUGGAAUAUGCUAGUAUAUAUUCUAUCUGCGGCAAAACCCACUACUGGUGUCACUAGAGUCUGUUUUGGUAAACACAUUCAGAAUGUCUAACUCAAGAACUUUUCUAGAUCUUUUUGUCUAAAAGUGCAUAAAAUGCCAAACGACGAGUUAAAAGUGCGGUUACCGUCGGCCGUCGGCGUUAGCGAAUAAAACACGCCACAGACAAAUCGAACUCGUUGGAAGCAACAUAAGUUAAUUGACUUUGAUAUUAAAUAAUUUGACACCAGAACUUCAACAAUCAAGGGCGUGUUAUUGUUUUCCAUACGGGGCGCGCACACGACGCCUGGAAGCCAUUCUAUGCUCGCGCAGCAGGUAUACUGACAGCAGCAGGAGCGAAACGCCGGCGUUGCAGAGCGGUGUCACAGAGCCACCGCGCUGCGAUCACUUCGGCGACACAAUCCAAAUUUGUCGGACAUCUCAUUCUGUGCUGGAAACACUGGGAGGCAGGAAGUUUGAAAAAACGGCCACUGCCGCCCACAAUGUCUCCGUCGUGGGCUGGUCGUGGGUUCGUUAUGCCAGUUGUGCCGGUUGUGCGUCAUUCUAAGCCGUUCUGUACAUUUAUACUGGAUAUUAAUUGGAGUCAUUUAGCUGUGCUGAUGCUGUUUGCCGUGUGUUUUGCAUCAGUGCUUCGUGACAUCGGCUGUAUUGUGUGUUUUCGCCGACGGCUUACUACCACAAUGGCGGGAUCUGCGUUCGCCGCCUUCGUGUCUCGGUGCGUCUUUGUACGUCGCACGUUCGGAUAACACUAUUUCCGACGGCUGGACAUCCUUCUUGUACCUUGGCGCUAGCUGGAUGACGGGACCUCAUCAUGAUCAGUGUAAGCCAAUGUACUGUACCCUCUCUGGUCCUCCCAGUGCUUUUUAUAUGGGUUAAGGCCAGGGAGUGCUUCGUGGUAAAAUAGCUAGUUGGUGUCUCACAAACGGGCAUUUUUUUGCACUGGUCCAUUAUAAGCUGCCACUAUUAUAACCAAUUUCUCAGUGCCAGUGUACAUACACAGUUCUACUAAUAAUUAGUUUCCCUAAGCCUUACAAAAUGUACCUGUAGGUAGUCAAUGCUAUGUAAGAACUCAAAAAUUAACUCUGCUGUGUCAUACAAGUAUACCAUACAUGAGUAAAAAUUUGCUACAACAGUGUACAUUACACCUUGCUUCCCUAAUGCACAAAUGUAUUCAAGCCAGUAUUUGAUUAGUUUGGUAUUCUAAAUGUUUUCUGUGUGAUUUAGUUUCUUUACAGGAAUUUACCGUACAGCAUCAGCAAGCAGUCUAAUUUAAGAUUUAUGUGUGCUGUAAAAGGUGCGCUUUGCCGCUAGAAUUGAUAAAACAUGGGCCGAGGCUUCCAUACAAGGACAAACUUCAAUUUCGCUCUACCACCAUCAGCACUUGGCUGGCACUUGCAAAAUGAAUCAUCAGGUAGCUUGUGCCAGACUGUUUUUUAACCUUAUUGUGAGGAGAUCACAAAGUGAUGUGUGGAGGCGCCUGCGUCUGAGAUGUAGAUUGCGCUGCAACAUAUGUGCGUGUAGAACAGGCAUGAUGCUCAGGGUUCCAGCAGUUCGCAGAGGUGCUUUUAAAAUUUUGUCAUAACUGCAAUUUUACCUGUGCUGUUUUUUAUCACCUAUUUCAAUAAUAUCAUUGGAGGUGUUAUCAGAAUUUAGCAAUCUAUUUGCCCUAGCCCAUUAGCCUGCCACAUUUGCCUUUUCACUAGGUGGGAAAUUAUUCAGCAUGGACCAUUACUUGAAUACACCUUUCUGUGUGCAGUGGCUUCUCAAUUGCGAGUCAACAUAAAUUCUCAGAAUUACCUGAGGCUAUAGAUGCACUGAUGAAUUUGCUACCUAUGUGAAUCACUUUGCACUUUCUUGCACAAACAGCAUGUUAACACUUCCAAGACAGUGGGCAAUGUUAUCGUUUGAUCACAUCAUGAGAUACUUUCAAUUUUGUGACGCAUCAUCCAAGGUGUUGCAUCAUUUGUGUGAGGUAUUGCCCUAAACCAAUUAGGGUCACAUGAAAAUAUAUCAACAAAAGUGAUUGAUCCAGCUAGGAGUGUUGCUUUGGAACACUACUUUAUCACCAGUCCUCCUUUGCAUGCUACCUGCUUACUCUGUACUGUGUCAUGUUUAAGUUUGAAAAGAAGGCAACAGCUAGGCAGUGCAAAAUGUCAAACUUGCUUUUAGUUUAACAUUACAAAAUGCUAUUUAACUUUUUAAUUAAGUUAGUACAUCAUUUACCUGCAGAGUGAAUUACUGUUUUAAGCUGAUUAUAUUUUGCAGGAAGCUUCUCAGACUUGUUUGACAGGUUGAUAAGUGGCUUUUUAGCCACAUAACACUAUAUAAUAAUUUAAAGGCUGACUCUGCUAUGCAACUAAUGACUAUAUGGCAGGAACAAGGUCUCCAAGUUGUGGCGCUGGCUAACACUCCCAGGGUUCUACUAGAACACAUAAAUACCCAAGAAAGUGGAUGGGAAAACGACGCCGCUGUAGCUCAAUUGGUAGAGCAUAGCACGCGAAAUGCGAAGGUUUUGGGUUCGGUUACCACCUGCUGCAAUGUGUUCUUUCAUCCACUUUAAUUUCCAUUAAUUUAUCGUUUAUUUCAUUUAUUAAGCACAAGUAAUUUCCCCUAUGUUGUCCUUGGUGUCAGUGUUUGUUGGCUUCUUAUGAUAGGAAAUGUACUAGUCAUUUUAACAUCAUCGCAUACAUACCUUAAGAUACCCAUAAUUUAAGAGAAAGGAGUGCUUAAAUUUAUUUUUAAUGUGAGAAAACUUCUUACUUAGCACAUAUUACAUAUUGAAGUGCCAAUUUCAAUAUUCCCAUUUCCUCCCUCGCCUUCUUUUUCCUGUUCUGUGCAGGUAUUGCUUGCCUAUGUCUACAAGAACCAUCACGCGUGGCCUGCAACAGCAAGCUUUUGUGGGCAGCAAGUGCUCUCCUACGAAGGCUGGCCUACUCUGGCAGCGGCAGCAAUCAUCUUCAAGAUUUAUCCAUAAUCACCUUUGCUGCUAUUUGUCACUCUUGUUGAUUACACUUUCUGCGUCUUUUCUAAUUUAUUAGGUAAUAAAGUAUGACUAUGUGACAUGG
This is a long non-coding RNA of Dermacentor andersoni, 3235 nucleotides long. RefSeq lists it as uncharacterized. The record is from RefSeq and is a predicted model, not a curated record. Lineage: Eukaryota; Metazoa; Arthropoda; Arachnida; Ixodida; Ixodidae.